This 402-nucleotide ribosomal RNA is filed under the name uncultured bacterium. RNAcentral's name for it is "bacterial SSU rRNA". It matches the Rfam family "Bacterial small subunit ribosomal RNA", at positions 355 to 774 of the family's 1533-position model. The record is from RNAcentral.
UCGGGAAUUUUGGGCAAUGGGCGAAAGCCUGACCCAGCAACGCCGCGUGAGGGAUGAAGUAUUUCGGUAUGUAAACCUCGAAAGAAUGGGAAGAAUAAAUGACGGUACCAUUUAUAAGCUCCGGCUAACUACGUGCCAGCAGCCGCGGUAAUACGUAGGGAGCAAGCGUUGUUCGGAUUUACUGGGCGUAAAGGGCGCGUAGGCGGCGCGGUAAGUCACUUGUGAAAUCUCUGAGCUUAACUCAGAACGGCCAAGUGAUACUGCUGUGCUAGAGUGCGGAAGAGGCAACCGGAAUUCUUGGUGUAGCGGUGAAAUGCGUAGAUAUCGAGAGGAACACCUGAGGCGAAGGCGGGUUGCUGGGCCGACACUGACGCUGAUGCGCGAAAGCCAGGGGAGCAAACG